RNAcentral lists this ribosomal RNA (482 nucleotides) under uncultured bacterium. Its description in RNAcentral is "bacterial SSU rRNA". It matches the Rfam family "Bacterial small subunit ribosomal RNA", at positions 29 to 506 of the family's 1533-position model. The record is from RNAcentral.
UUGAACGCUGGCGGCAUGCCUUACACAUGCAAGUCGAACGGUAACGCGGGGCAACCUGGCGACGAGUGGCGAACGGGUGAGUAAUACAUCGGAACGUACCUGGUAGUGGGGGAUAGCCCGGCGAAAGCCGGAUUAAUACCGCAUACGACCUGAGGGUGAAAGCGGGGGACCUGAGAGGGCCUCGCGCUAUUGGAGCGGCCGAUGGCAGAUUAGCUAGUUGGUGGGGUAAAGGCCCACCAAGGCGACGAUCUGUAGCUGGUCUGAGAGGACGACCAGCCACACUGGGACUGAGACACGGCCCAGACUCCUACGGGAGGCAGCAGUGGGGAAUUUUGGACAAUGGGCGCAAGCCUGAUCCAGCCAUGCCGCGUGCGGGAAGAAGGCCUUCGGGUUGUAAACCGCUUUUGUCGGGGAAGAAACGGCUCUGGUUAAUACCUGGGGCUAAUGACGGUACCUGAAGAAUAAGCACCGGCUAACUACGU